UAGUACUUCACACAAAUCAGAAAUUUUAGCAUGGAUGUUGUGUGUUAGGUAUCUAGAAGAAACAUAAAAUCCCACUUUGAAAAAAACACAUCUGAAAAGCUGCUCCAUGCAAAGCUUGUAAAAGUGUCCUUAUGCUGCAAGUUGUGGUCUUUCUGUGUGUGAAUGAUGGGACAUUGAAGAAGAACAUGAUUGUGGGUAAAUAAGCUCAAAACAUCAUGGAAGCUGUGACCAGUGACUUUAUGCUCACCAGUUCCAGGAUGGGUAGAGACAUCCACCUGUACAGAUAUCUCACCCACUGAAUUAUUAGCAGUUUGACCUGAAACAAGAAUUACUGGUUAGCACACCUGACUUCUCGGUGCAUCAAGAGAAAUAGACAGCCAAAGGUGCAUCUUCCCUUUUUAGCUUUCAGUUAUCUGGCGUAAGAAUGAAGAAAUCUGAAUCAGACCAGCUGAAGCAAAGCCUUUUCUGCAGCCUUGUAAAAACCCAGGAGUAACUUAAGAUAAGCCUCACCAUUACUGGUCUCAGCACAGACUAAAAAAGCCUUGGAGCUUUCCCUGAAAUUCUGGGCUGGCUGCUGCCUGUCUUCCAGCUGUGAACCAGCCAUGGGGGCUCCAGCCCUGCAGCACUGAACCCCCAAGUUCCUGCAGCUGAGCUGGGUUUUACAGAGACUCCAUCAGUGACCUGCUCCUGGAAUGGUUCUUGGCAGUGCCAGCUCUUGUGCACAAUUAAAAAAGAAAACUGAUCCAGAUGAAUGUGCUUACAACACUGCAAAAUCAGCUGAAUCCUUUCUGGGUAAUAUUAGAUGUGACGUUCAGAUAGGUGGAAGUAAAUUUCAUUACUAGUUUAUAAAUCGUUCUAUGUAUUAUUAUUAAAAGUUUUCCCAUCAAAAAUACUGAUAAUUUAUUUGCAAAAGAAAAUGCUGCUCUGCAUCUUUUACAUUUGUGGGUUUGGAAUAAAACAGGAUAAGUGCUUAGCAGGUUCUGCUUAUUUUCUGGAAAUGUUUAUACACAGGGACAGUCAUUGAUUAUAUCCCCCUUACUCUAGU
Long non-coding RNA from Taeniopygia guttata (zebra finch), 1045 nucleotides. RefSeq lists it as uncharacterized. The record is from RefSeq and is a predicted model, not a curated record. NCBI's taxonomy places the organism in Eukaryota, Metazoa, Chordata, Aves, Passeriformes, Estrildidae.